Molecule: ribosomal RNA, 1336 nt
Filed under: Klebsiella pneumoniae
Lineage: Bacteria; Pseudomonadati; Pseudomonadota; Gammaproteobacteria; Enterobacterales; Enterobacteriaceae
Also listed under: 1 other name
Description: partial 23S ribosomal RNA
Rfam family: Bacterial large subunit ribosomal RNA
Source: RNAcentral
AACCCAGUGCAAUUCGUUGCACUAUCGUUAACUGAAUACAUAGGUUAACGAGGCGAACCGGGGGAACUGAAACAUCUAAGUACCCCGAGGAAAAGAAAUCAACCGAGAUUCCCCCAGUAGCGGCGAGCGAACGGGGAGCAGCCCAGAGUCUGAAUCAGCUUGUGUGUUAGUGGAACGGUCUGGAAAGUCCGACGGUACAGGGUGAUAGUCCCGUACACCAAAAUGCACAGGUUGUGAACUCGAAGAGUAGGGCGGGACACGUGGUAUCCUGUCUGAAUAUGGGGGGACCAUCCUCCAAGGCUAAAUACUCCUGACUGACCGAUAGUGAACCAGUACCGUGAGGGAAAGGCGAAAAGAACCCCGGCGAGGGGAGUGAAAAAGAACCUGAAACCGUGUACGUACAAGCAGUGGGAGCACCUUCGGGUGUGACUGCGUACCUUUUGUAUAAUGGGUCAGCGACUUAUAUUCUGUAGCAAGGUUAACCGUAUAGGGGAGCCGCAGGGAAACCGAGUCUUAACUGGGCGUUAAGUUGCAGGGUAUAGACCCGAAACCCGGUGAUCUAGCCAUGGGCAGGUUGAAGGUUGGGUAACACUAACUGGAGGACCGAACCGACUAAUGUUGAAAAAUUAGCGGAUGACUUGUGGCUGGGGGUGAAAGGCCAAUCAAACCGGGAGAUAGCUGGUUCUCCCCGAAAGCUAUUUAGGUAGCGCCUCGUGAAUUCAUCUUCGGGGGUAGAGCACUGUUUCGGCUAGGGGGUCAUCCCGACUUACCAACCCGAUGCAAACUACGAAUACCGAAGAAUGUUAUCACGGGAGACACACGGCGGGUGCUAACGUCCGUCGUGAAGAGGGAAACAACCCAGACCGCCAGCUAAGGUCCCAAAGUCAUGGUUAAGUGGGAAACGAUGUGGGAAGGCACAGACAGCCAGGAUGUUGGCUUAGAAGCAGCCAUCAUUUAAAGAAAGCGUAAUAGCUCACUGGUCGAGUCGGCCUGCGCGGAAGAUGUAACGGGGCUAAACCAUGCACCGAAGCUGCGGCAGCGACACUAUGUGUUGUUGGGUAGGGGAGCGUUCUGUAAGCCUGCGAAGGUGACCUGUGAGGGUUGCUGGAGGUAUCAGAAGUGCGAAUGCUGACAUAAGUAACGAUAAAGCGGGUGAAAAGCCCGCUCGCCGGAAGACCAAGGGUUCCUGUCCAACGUUAAUCGGGGCAGGGUGAGUCGACCCCUAAGGCGAGGCCGAAAGGCGUAGUCGAUGGGAAACAGGUUAAUAUUCCUGUACUUGGUGUUACUGCGAAGGGGGGACGGAGAAGGCUAUGUUAGCCGGGCGACGGUUGUCCCG